CCUACGGGGGGCAGCAGUGGGGAAUAUUGGACAAUGGGGGCAACCCUGAUCCAGCCAUGCCGCGUGUGUGAAGAAGGCCCUCGGGUUGUAAAGCACUUUCAGUGAGGAAGAACGCCUGGUGGUUAAUACCCAUCAGGAAAGACAUCACUCACAGAAGAAGCACCGGCUAACUCCGUGCCAGCAGCCGCGGUAAUACGGAGGGUGCGAGCGUUAAUCGGAAUUAUUGGGCGUAAAGCGCGCGUAGGUGGCUUGAUAAGCCGGUUGUGAAAGCCCCGGGCUCAACCUGGGAACGGCAUCCGGAACUGUCAAGCUAGAGUGCAGGAGAGGAAGGUAGAAUUCCCGGUGUAGCGGUGAAAUGCGUAGAGAUCGGGAGGAAUACCAGUGGCGAAGGCGGCCUUCUGGACUGACACUGACACUGAGGUGCGAAAGCGUGGGUAGCAAACAGGAUUAGAUACCCGAGUAGUC
RNAcentral lists this ribosomal RNA (465 nucleotides) under Vreelandella stevensii. RNAcentral describes it as "partial 16S ribosomal RNA". It matches the Rfam family "Bacterial small subunit ribosomal RNA", at positions 338 to 795 of the family's 1533-position model. The record is from RNAcentral. Lineage: Bacteria; Pseudomonadati; Pseudomonadota; Gammaproteobacteria; Oceanospirillales; Halomonadaceae.